This is a non-coding RNA of Ictidomys tridecemlineatus (thirteen-lined ground squirrel), 1058 nucleotides long. The record is from RefSeq and is a predicted model, not a curated record. NCBI's taxonomy places the organism in Eukaryota, Metazoa, Chordata, Mammalia, Rodentia, Sciuridae.
GCCUGGCACGCAUCUGCACGGUGGGCUUUUCUCUGCCCUCUUCUGAUGACGCCUGCCUCCGUCCGUCACAAAAGGGACUUCGAGAUGACGAAGAAGAAUGGAUGAUGGUUCUUUGUUCCAUUAGGGAAAGUACUAAGGGAAGCUCCUACCCCAACACUCCAAGUCGAAGGCUUUUUAGCUAUUUGCCUCCCCCUCCAAGACCGGGAAACAAAAGUGAAGAGGGAAGGUCCUUCCACACUGAAAAUCCUAGUCCUCUGCAAGAAGCCCAUCCUCGGUGGGGGAGAGGUGGCACUGUUCAACAAUGCCCCAGAGACUGCAUGGACAGAGUCCCAUGCAUGGGAAAGGGGACAUUGCGAUCAGAAUGUUCACUCUUGGGCAGGGGUCCUUCCCCAAGCAGACACGUGAAUAUAAACAAGUAGCAGCAAAAGCGUGGUAGUUUGGUGGGCGAGAAUAGUAUUUUAACCUUGAGGGAAGCUCAGGGUCAGACAUUUUUCAGAAAAGCCAGGAAGAGCUAUUUGUUGGCUUUCUUUGGGUUGAUACUCCAUCCUAUGCUACCUAUGAGAGUCAAGGGCGUCCUGGUAUAGCUGCCACUUACUGAGCUCUUCCUCGUCUCUGCCAGAGACCUUUUAGAAAUAUUUUAAAUGACUCCAUAGGGAUAUAGUCUGCAAAAUCUAGUCUCUGGAAACAAAUUUAUCGAGUUUCUACAACAUGCUGCAAAAAGAAAAAGAAAAAGCAAUAGAGGGAGAAGCCAAUAGAUUAAAAAAAAAAAGGCCUAACCAUCUACAAUAUAUGGAACUCAUUUGGAUUCUGAUCAAAAGAACAAACCACUAAAAAAGGAAACUUUUAUGAGACAAUCUGGGAAAAUGUGACAUUAACAGGAUGUUUGAAGGUACUACUAAAUUAUUAGUUUACUUUAAGUGUCACGAAGAAAUUAUAUACACACUUUCUUCUCUCUUUUUUUAAGGCCUUAUUUUUCAGGAACAGUGCCAAAAUAUUUACCAGUGGAAUAACAUUAUGUCUGGGAUUGAUUCAAAAUAAAUUGAGAUGGGGGAAAUGGA